This 217-nucleotide long non-coding RNA is filed under the name Homo sapiens (human). RNAcentral describes it as "HSALNT0060687". The record is from RNAcentral. Lineage: Eukaryota; Metazoa; Chordata; Mammalia; Primates; Hominidae.
GACUUACCGGGUCUUUAAUUGGCCAAUCUGGAAACCGGAGUGUAUCACACAGUUGUUUGAGGUAAUAAAUAUUACAAAAUAGUUCAUUUUCGAGUUGUGGAUAGUUGAUUAUAGGAAUGGGGCAAUACUGAUAAAGUGCUCUUGUGUUACUCUGAAGACGAGGUGUGAAAUCCGCGAGAUGGGCAGCAAUCUUCUCUAUCAUCAGGCGCCUACAAUC